CUCCAUGGUUAAUACCCAUGGACGAUGACAUUAGCUGCAGAAUAAGCACCGGCUAACUCUGUGCCAGCAGCCGCGGUAAUACAGAGGGUGCAAGCGUUAAUCGGAAUUACUGGGCGUAAAGCGAGCGUAGGUGGCUUGAUAAGUCAGAUGUGAAAUCCCCGGGCUCAACCUGGGAACUGCAUCUGAAACUGUUAGGCUAGAGUAGGUGAGAGGGAAGUAGAAUUUCAGGUGUAGCGGUGAAAUGCGUAGAGAUCUGAAGGAAUACCGAUGGCGAAGGCAGCCUCCUGGCAUCAUACUGACACUGAGGCUCGAAAGCGUGGGUAGCAAACAGGAUUAGAUACCCUGGUAGUCCACGCCGUAAACGAUGUC
This 369-nucleotide ribosomal RNA is filed under the name uncultured Psychrobacter sp. RNAcentral's name for it is "bacterial SSU rRNA". It matches the Rfam family "Bacterial small subunit ribosomal RNA", at positions 448 to 813 of the family's 1533-position model. Lineage: Bacteria; Pseudomonadati; Pseudomonadota; Gammaproteobacteria; Moraxellales; Moraxellaceae. The record is from RNAcentral.